CAGCAGCCGCCGCGGUAAAACGGAGGGUGCAAGCGUUAAUCGGAAUUACUGGGCGUAAAGCGCACGCAGGCGGUUUGUUAAGUCAGAUGUGAAAUCCCCGAGCUUAACUUGGGAACUGCAUUUGAAACUGGCAAGCUAGAGUCUUGUAGAGGGGGGUAGAAUUCCAGGUGUAGCGGUGAAAUGCGUAGAGAUCUGGAGGAAUACCGGUGGCGAAGGCGGCCCCCUGGACAAAGACUGACGCUCAGGUGCGAAAGCGUGGGGAGCAAACAGGAUUAGAUACCCCAGUAGUACCUGUCUCUUAUAC
Molecule: ribosomal RNA, 304 nt
Filed under: uncultured bacterium
Lineage: Bacteria
Description: partial 16S ribosomal RNA
Rfam family: Bacterial small subunit ribosomal RNA
Source: RNAcentral